AAGCCCCCCAGAGUCUCUCUGCUGCCGCCGCAAGCGCCGCUGGCCCGGGGACCACAGAUUGGAAGCAGGCAGUCACUGGUCGUGGACAGGAAGACUCUCUCCGGCCAUCUCAGGUGUUCCUGUAUAAAACUGUGCCAACGAGUUUGCUGUCAUGUGCCUGUGGUCGCCUCAACAAAGUAGAACUUCCUUACUGGCUCUGGAGGCCAGUCUACAGCCUGUAUAUCUGGACCUUUGGGGUGAACAUGACUGAGGCUGCAGUGGAGGACCUGCACCACUACCGCAACCUCAGCGAGUUUUUCCGGCGUAAGCUGAAGCCUCAGGCACAGCCUGUCUGAGAUUUGUACUGUGUGACCAGCCCAUCAGAUGGCAAGAUCCUCACCUUUGGGCAGGUGAAGAACUCUGAGGUGGAGCAGGUAAAGGGCGAAACCUACUCCUUGGAGUCCUUCCUGGGCCCUCGAACCAGUACAGAAGACCUGCCCUUCCCUCCAGCUUCUUCCAGUGACUCCUUCAGAAACCAGCUGGUCCCCCAAGAAGGGAAUGCGCUCUACCACUGUGUCGUCUACCUGGCCCCAGGAGACUACCACUGCUUCCACUCCCCCACUGACUGGACCGUCUCACAUCGGCGCCACUUCCCAGGUCUGCCCAGGGGUGGGCAUUAGAGGCCCUUGGCCUUUUGACUUGAGAGGACUGGGCUUGAGGCUGGUGUCGUCAAGGCCAGGAGAGGACUUCUUGAGGUGGCUGGCUAUAGGCGAGGGUAUCUGGGGUCCUGCUUAGAAUUUGGACCGCUUGACCUGUGAGUCCCUGUGGCUCUUCGGCCAUUCUGAUGUGAACAUGUCAGGGGCUGAGCAGAAAGUAGCAUAUUCUCUUGUCUCUUCAGGUUCCCUGAUGUCAGUGAACCCUGGCAUGGCCCGAUGGAUCAAAGAGCUCUUUUGUCACAAUGAGCAUGUAGUCCUAACUGGAGACUGGAAAAAUGGGUUCUUCUCGUUGACAGCAGUGGGAGCCACCAAUGUGGGCUCUAUCCAUAUCCACUUUAACUGAGUGAGCAAAGCCCACAGGCUAAACCUCUUGGGUCCAACCACUUCAUUUACUGUACAGCCUUACCUUUGGGCUUAUAAAUUUUGUAGUGCAGGAGGGAUGAUCUAGCUCUGACCAGGCUGGACUCUACAGACAUCCAUACCAGCCCAGCCUCCCUCUCCCUGUUGCCCAAUCUGUGGCCAUUCACCUGCCUGAACCAAUCCCACAUCUUAACACACGGCUUCUGCCAGGAUCCCUGAUCAGAAGCAAGGAUGGAGCCUGCAGGAGGGUAGAGUUGGCUUGGGUGAGAAAAUCUGGUACCCACUCUGCCUUUUUAGGUUUUAAUGGCUGCUGCUGGCACUAGCCUUUCAGCAUUUAUGUCUAACCCCUGCCCCUCCUUGUCAAAGUCACAGCUGAUACUGGGAGUGUUGAUUAGUUAGGCCUUUGUCUCUGCCACCUGGGCUGGGCAGAGUUGAGGACAGGCUCAACCUUCUUGUUCCUAGGACUUGCACACAAACAGCCCCAGGUACAGCAAGGUACUACAAUGACCUGAGCUUUGUAACAAGGAGGGCAUUCCCAUGCACAAGGGUGAGCCCCUGGGCGAGUUCAACCUGAGCUCCACAUCAUGCUCAUCUUCGAGGCACCCAAGGACUUCAACUUGAGGCUGAAGGCAGAACAGAAGAUCUGCUUUGCAGGAGCACUGGGCUCCCUCUAGUCCUCUCGGUUGUGGCUGCCAAAGGAUCUUUCCACACAGGAGCAUGAGGGUCUUUAGCGGAGCCCCAGGAUGUCUAGGUGAGGGGCACUGUGGGGCUGACCUUAUAAGACCUGAAUGAUGUGUUCCUGCCUGUCCAUGGGUGCAGAGGAGAGGUUCUGGGUCUCUCAGGACCUAGGCCCCUUUUCUGAGUAUGGGUGGGUGUGAUUUGACCCCAAAGUCACUUUAAGGGGUGUUUUAAAUUUUUGUACAAGCCAGAGCCUCCCACCCCUAACUCCUGGCUGUGUACUACCACACCCUCUAGCUGCGCCCCGACCCGUCACAGGGCUCUCUCACUGUGCACAGGGUGACGUGCCUGCUGGGCAGAGACUGUGGAUCCACUGUCUUCCUAGAGCAGGCCACAUGGCCUUCAUAACUGCUUUCUGCUCCCAAAUUUCACCUAUCUGCAUGCUGGAAAAGUAAAAUCAUUUAUAUAUUGCUGGAUGUGUUGUCCUGGGCUCUGUCAGUGUCUUCUGAAGACAAUGACUAAUGAUGUAUGUAGACCUUUGUAGGCUCUAAGAAGCUGGCUGAAUCCUUUUGCUGGUAGGCAAGACCAAUUAAUUACUGGCUUGUCUGGUAGAGUCUGGAGUGAAAGGGCAGGUUGAGGCCUUGCCCUGCAGAAGUAGGGGACAUGCUGCUAUUGGUCUAGGUCUGUGUUGGAAGCAGAGGGUAUGGAGGUCAGUACCUAGAAAACAGGUAUGCAGGCCAUGGGGAACCCAGUGGUAGGGACAAGACCAGAGUUCAUGUCGAUCUUGGGAAUGCCAUGAAUUUCCCCUGCAGAAGAAAUCACUUAACUUUUCAACCCUAUCAGUAGUACCGUAUUUUGUAUGAAAAGUAGGAGACUUCUGAACAGUAAUUCAUUUCAUUGCAAGACAUUUUGAAAUUAAAAAACAAAACAAAACAAAAA
RNAcentral lists this long non-coding RNA (2672 nucleotides) under Mus musculus (house mouse). RNAcentral's name for it is "predicted gene, 74511". The record is from RNAcentral. Lineage: Eukaryota; Metazoa; Chordata; Mammalia; Rodentia; Muridae.